AACGAACGCUGGCGGCAUGCCUAACACAUGCAAGUCGAACGAGACCUUCGGGUCUAGUGGCGCACGGGUGCGUAACGCGUGGGAAUCUGCCCUUGGGUUCGGAAUAACAGUUAGAAAUGACUGCUAAUACCGGAUAAUGUCUUCGGACCAAAGAUUUAUCGCCCAGGGAUGAGCCCGCGUAGGAUUAGCUAGUUGGUGAGGUAAAGGCUCACCAAGGCGACGAUCCUUAGCUGGUCUGAGAGGAUGAUCAGCCACACUGGGACUGAGAUACGGCCCAGACUCCUACGGGAGGCAGCAGUGGGGAAUAUUGGACAAUGGGGGCAACCCUGAUCCAGCAAUGCCGCGUGAGUGAUGAAGGCCUUCGGGUUGUAAAGGACUCUUUGUCCGGGGACGAUGAUGACGGUACCCGGACGGAAUAAGCCCCGGCCUAACUUCGUGCCAGCAGCCGCGGUAA
This 454-nucleotide ribosomal RNA is filed under the name uncultured bacterium. RNAcentral's name for it is "bacterial SSU rRNA". It matches the Rfam family "Bacterial small subunit ribosomal RNA", at positions 29 to 523 of the family's 1533-position model. The record is from RNAcentral.